UUAGGUACCGUCAAGAUGUGCACAGUUACUUACACAUAUGUUCUUCCCUAAUAACAGAGUUUUACGAUCCGAAGACCUUCAUCACUCACGCGGCGUUGCUCCGUCAGGCUUUCGCCCAUUGCGGAAGAUUCCCUACUGCUGCCUCCCGUAGGAGUCUGGACCGUGUCUCAGUUCCAGUGUGGCCGAUCACCCUCUCAGGUCGGCUAUGCAUCGUUGCCUUGGUAAGCCGUUACCUUACCAACUAGCUAAUGCAGCGCGGAUCCAUCUAUAAGUGACAGCAAGACCGUCUUUCACUUUUGAACCAUGCGGUUCAAAAUAUUAUCCGGUAUUAGCUCCGGUUUCCCGAAGUUAUCCCAGUCUUAUAGGUAGGUUAUCCACGUGUUACUCACCCGUCCGCCGCUAACAUCAGAGAAGCAAGCUUCUCGUCCGUUCGCUCGACUUGCAUGUAUUAGGCACGCCGCCAGCGUUCAUCCUGAGCCAGGAUCAAACCCUU
Molecule: ribosomal RNA, 493 nt
Filed under: uncultured bacterium
Lineage: Bacteria
Description: partial 16S ribosomal RNA
Source: RNAcentral